Molecule: ribosomal RNA, 253 nt
Filed under: uncultured bacterium
Lineage: Bacteria
Description: partial 16S ribosomal RNA
Rfam family: Bacterial small subunit ribosomal RNA
Source: RNAcentral
UACGGGGGGGGCAAGCGUUGUUCGGAAUUACUGGGCGUAAAGGGCUCGUAGGCGGCCAACUAAGUCGGAUGUGAAAUCCCCAGGCUUAACCUGGGAACUGCAUCCGAUACUGGAUGGCUUGAAUUCGGGAGAGGGAUGCAGAAUUCCAGGUGUAGCGGUGAAAUGCGUAGAUAUCUGGAGGAAUACCGGUGGCGAAGGCGGCAUCCUGGACCAUUACUGACGCUGAGGAGCGAAAGCCAGGGGAGCAAACGGG